UGGCACAUAGCAGCCCUUAAGGCAGUGGUUCGCCGUCGUGGAGUGUCGGGGGCGGAGGUUCAAACCCUCUCGUGCUGACCA
Molecule: transfer RNA, 81 nt
Filed under: Salmonella enterica
Lineage: Bacteria; Pseudomonadati; Pseudomonadota; Gammaproteobacteria; Enterobacterales; Enterobacteriaceae
Also listed under: 3 other names
Description: tRNA-Ser
Source: RNAcentral